RNAcentral lists this ribosomal RNA (206 nucleotides) under uncultured bacterium. RNAcentral's name for it is "partial 16S ribosomal RNA". It matches the Rfam family "Bacterial small subunit ribosomal RNA", at positions 568 to 774 of the family's 1533-position model. The record is from RNAcentral.
CGCGUAGGCGGGUUCGCAAGUCUGUGGUGAAAGCCUCCAGCUUAACUGGAGAAGUGCCGUGGAUACUGCGAAUCUUGAGGAGGGUAGGGGCAUCUGGAACGGUCGGUGGAGCGGUGAAAUGCGUUGAUAUCGACCGGAACUCCGGUGGCGAAGGCGAGGUGCUGGACCCUUUCUGACGCUGAGGCGCGAAAGCCAGGGAGCAAACG